ACCCCUGACUAUAAAAUGUGUAGAAACACAACUAGCUAUCAAGAACAAGUAGAAGAUGCAGAGGAACAACAAAUUUACAAAAGCUAUAGCCGUUCUUUGGAAGCAAGAAGAGGCCAAAUUCAAUUCAACGUCACACCAUGGAAGGCUCCCUACAUCAUACACAUACACAUACACAAGAGAUAACAAUUAGCAAAUCACUAACAAGUUUUAAUGCAUAAUAUGUAGUUAUAUAAUCUGUCUUUUUGUCUUUUGAGG
Arabidopsis thaliana (thale cress) is the source of this 255-nucleotide long non-coding RNA. RefSeq annotates it as other RNA. The record is from RefSeq. NCBI's taxonomy places the organism in Eukaryota, Viridiplantae, Streptophyta, Magnoliopsida, Brassicales, Brassicaceae. The transcript has a single exon.